Molecule: ribosomal RNA, 460 nt
Filed under: uncultured bacterium
Lineage: Bacteria
Description: partial 16S ribosomal RNA
Rfam family: Bacterial small subunit ribosomal RNA
Source: RNAcentral
CCUACGGGAGGCAGCAGUGAGGAAUAUUGGUCAAUGGACGAGAGUCUGAACCAGCCAAGUAGCGUGAAGGAUGACUGCCCUAUGGGUUGUAAACUUCUUUUAUAUGGGAAUAAAACAGGGUAUGCAUACCCUCUUGUAUGUACCAUAUGAAUAAGGAUCGGCGAACUCCGUGCCAGCAGCCGCGGUAAUCCGGAGGAUCCGAGCGUUAUCCGGAUUUAUUGGGUUUUAAGGGCGCGUAGGUGGAUUGUUAAGUCAGUUGUGAAAGUUUGCGGCUCAACCGUAAAAUUGCAGUUGAAACUGGCAGGCUUGAGUACAGUAGAGGUGGGCGGAAUUCGUGGUGUAGCGGUGAAAUGCGUAGAUAUCACGAAGAACUCCGAUUGCGAAGGCAGCUCACUGGACUGCAACUGACACUGAUGCUCGAAAGUGUGGGUAUCAAACAGGAUUAGAUACCCUUGUAGUC